This 492-nucleotide ribosomal RNA is filed under the name uncultured bacterium. RNAcentral describes it as "partial 16S ribosomal RNA". It matches the Rfam family "Bacterial small subunit ribosomal RNA", at positions 29 to 507 of the family's 1533-position model. The record is from RNAcentral.
AGUGAACGCUGGCGGUAGGCCUAACACAUGCAAGUCGAACGGCAGCACAGUAAGAGCUUGCUCUUACGGGUGGCGAGUGGCGGACGGGUGAGGAAUACAUCGGAAGCUACUUUUUCGUGGGGGAUAACGUAGGGAAACUUACGCUAAUACCGCAUAUGUCCUACGGGUGAAAGCAGGGGAGCUUCUGACCUUGCUCGAUUGAAUGAGCCGCUGUCGGAUUAGCUAGUUGGCGGGGUAAAGGCCCACCAUGGCGACGAUCCGUAGCUGGUCUGAGAGGAUGGUCGGCCAAACUGGAACUGAGACACGGUCCAGACUCCUACGGGAGGCAGCAGUGGGGAAUAUUGAGCAAUGGGCGCAAGCCUGAUCCAGCCAUACCGCGUGAGUGAUGAAGGCCUUCGGGUUGUAAAGCCCUUUUGUUGGGAAAGAAAAGCAGCAGGUUAAUACCCCGCUGUUCUGACGGUACCCAAUCAAUAAGCACCGGCUAACUUCGUG